This 2050-nucleotide long non-coding RNA is filed under the name Theobroma cacao (cacao). RNAcentral describes it as "long non-coding RNA (TCAC_LNC002908)". Lineage: Eukaryota; Viridiplantae; Streptophyta; Magnoliopsida; Malvales; Malvaceae. The record is from RNAcentral.
CCUGCAUAAACAAUUUUUGUAGUAUAAGAGCAAAAUAAAUUCGUAUAUAUAAUAGCACACUAAACCAGGUAUACAAAAAUAUUCUACAAUGACAUGUGGGCCCUAAUAUAACCGAAAAUAUACAAGACUAUAGACCUUCGAUUUCUAAGGAUGUAAAUCCAAAAGCAACCCUCGACAAAAUCGACUGUCUACAGACUGUCCUGAGCCUGAAAUGGGUAAAAAGAAGGGAUGAGUUUUUAUAAACCCAGUGAGUAAGCAAAGUUCAUCUACAACAUCUAAAGCCGAGUAAAUGGAGACAGUUAAAUCAUCCCAUCAUAAUAUGAUUCAUAACAUUUAAAACUCAUUUCAAUUCAUAUAAACCAAUUACAUUUCAUCAAAAUAAUCAACAAAGCUUAUGAUUCUUUUAAAAACUUGGCUUAUGCCAAAACUCAUACUCGGGGACACCUUGGCUCGGGCAUCCAACCGAGUCCGCCAAGGCUGUUAAAAUAACAUAUACACAUAAACAUGUUUUUACGUUUAAAAACGUAGCCGUUCCUUGGCGUUGGCUGAGUUUCACCCUCACGUGGUGGUUCGGUGUGAAGUGAACUCUAAACUUACCUUAGGAGAUACCCUCCGCACCUCUCAAACUAAGGUAAAAUAUAACGGGGUUUACCGUGCCCCUCUAAUAGGCUCGUCCACGAAAACCCAUCCACUGCAGUAAGCUAAUCAAAUAACCCACCAAAUCAAUAAAAAUUUCGACAGCAUGACAUGGCUAAUAUAAUAUUACCCAGCCUGUCAAGAUAAAACAAAACAGUUUAUAUAAUCCACAAACCACAAAUCCAGCUACUCAUGCCAUCACAUUGUCAUAAGCCAUCAAUUCAAACCAUAUAUAUAUAUAUAUAUAUAACACAAGUAUAUAGUCUCCACUUACUCAAUUUCCAAAAUCAUCAUUGAAUUGCAAAACAAUUUAUAAAUCUCAUUCAUUUAACCAUCACUUAACUUAUAAAACAUAAAAAUCUACAGUUUAAGUUCAUUAUUCUUUAAAAUCAUAGAAACGAAUAUAAACUACUUUAAAUAGUUAAGGUGAACAUUUGAUUACUCACAAUAUUACUCACAAUAGCGGGAGUUUGGAGUACUCCUAUUCUUGGUCUUCGGGUACGAUAUUUUUACCCUUAUCAAAGGGCUCACCACCUAUACAUAAUACACGACACGUAAUUCAAUAUAUUUGUGCCAAACUGUUAUAAAACUAUUUCAGGCUUUAUAUGAGAAUUGAAUGAGAAUUGUUCGAAUAAUCAAUUAAAGACGGUGUUCUAUGUGGGUUCAAUUAUGAUCGUACUAAAUUUGUAUUCGACCUAACUCGAACUAUACACUGUUGAAUUAACCAAAACAUCCUAUUCAACUUCAAAUAUAUUCAUUACACUUCCAAUAUUCCAAAUACACCAAAGUACCUCAAUGAGCUUGAUUGUGACUUAAUUCAUCGUAACCGAAAUUCAUUCCGAUUUCGAACUAACGUGCUAAUCAAUGUUAACACAGUCCAAUAAAUCCAUCUACAUCAUUAGGAAUCAAAUCCAAAUCCAUUUACUAUGAUUUUCUCAUUAUUGUUCAAGUCGUUUACUAAAGGAACUAUACUUUUCGAUAGCCGUUUUCGAUAUCCGAUACCAUAAAUCAUCAAUUACGAGCUAAAUAACAAGAAAUACAACAAAAUCCAUCAUCAACAUGUCAUCUAUAAAAUUCGGCCAAAGAGGGUUGUUGAAGGGCAUGUGAUUUUCUUGCUUGUUUUUCAUGCCAAACAUCAUCAAACAACUAAAAACACUAAGAUAUCAUGAAAUCUAGCAAAAUCCAUCAUCAAAACCUCUCUCCCUAUGUUCGGCCAGCAAGUAUUCCCUCAUGGAAACUUGUGUUUCAACCAUAGAAAAUGAAAAAGAAAGCAUGGGAAAGGUAGAUCUUAAGCUAAAAUUGAAAAAUCUUACCUUUGAUUGCUUUGUUCUUUGAAAUUCAAUAAAUUUCUCUUGAAUUUUCCUCUCUAGGGUUUGUUUCUAUUCUUUUCUCUUUGUUCUUUGCUUUGGCCGGC